CCCCUAGAUGUUCUGGGCCGCACGCGCGCUACACUGAACAGUUCAACAAGUCUUAACCUUGGCCGGUAGGUCUGGGUAAUCUUUGAACGCUGUUCGUGAUUGGGAUAGACCUUUGCAAUUAUGGGUCUUCAACGAGGAAUUCCUAGUAAACGCAAGUCAUCAGCUUGCAUUGAUUACGUCCCUGCCCUUUGUACACACCGCCCGUCGCACCUACCGAUUGAAUGGUCCGGUGAAAUCUCGGGACGGCGGCUUGGUCGCUUGCGUCCGACUGCUGAAACUUGAUUAAACCAUAUCAUUUAGAGGAAGGUGAANUCGUAACA
RNAcentral lists this ribosomal RNA (320 nucleotides) under uncultured eukaryote. RNAcentral describes it as "partial 18S ribosomal RNA". It matches the Rfam family "Eukaryotic small subunit ribosomal RNA", at positions 1470 to 1796 of the family's 1831-position model. The record is from RNAcentral.